ACGGGUGAGUAAUGCAUCGGAACGUACCGAGUAAUGGGGGAUAACUGUCCGAAAGGACAGCUAAUACCGCAUACGCCCUGAGGGGGAAAGCGGGGGAUCUUGGGACCUCGCGUUAUUCGAGCGGCCGAUGUCUGAUUAGCUAGUUGGUGGGGUAAAGGCCUACCAAGGCGACGAUCAGUAGCGGGUCUGAGAGGACGAUCCGCCACACUGGGACUGAGACACGGCCCAGACUCCUACGGGAGGCAGCAGUGGGGAAUUUUGGACAAUGGGCGCAAGCCUGAUCCAGCCAUGCCGCGUGUCUGAAGAAGGCCUUCGGGUUGUAAAGGACUUUUGUCAGGGAAGAAAAGGCUUUUGCUAAUACCAAGAGCUGAUGACGGUACCUGAAGAAUAAGCACCGGCUAACUACGUGCCAGCAGCCGCGGUAAUACGUAGGGUGCGAGCGUUAAUCGGAAUUACUGGGCGUAAAGCGAGCGCAGACGGUUUGUUAAGCAGGAUGUGAAAUCCCCGGGCUCAACCUGGGAACUGCGUUCUGAACUGGCAGGCUAGAGUGUGUCAGAGGGGGGUAGAAUUCCACGUGUAGCAGUGAAAUGCGUAGAGAUGUGGAGGAAUACCGAUGGCGAAGGCAGCCCCCUGGGAUAACACUGACGUUCAUGCUCGAAAGCGUGGGUAGCAAACAGGAUUAGAUACCCUGGUAGUCCACGCCCUAAACG
RNAcentral lists this ribosomal RNA (710 nucleotides) under uncultured bacterium. Its description in RNAcentral is "bacterial SSU rRNA". It matches the Rfam family "Bacterial small subunit ribosomal RNA", at positions 102 to 808 of the family's 1533-position model. The record is from RNAcentral.